UUGUCGCGCCGAAGAUGAUGGACCUCA
Molecule: small RNA, 27 nt
Filed under: Bombyx mori (domestic silkworm)
Lineage: Eukaryota; Metazoa; Arthropoda; Insecta; Lepidoptera; Bombycidae
Description: ovarian small RNA-38121
Source: RNAcentral